UUUACAUGUAUUUAUUUCAGUGCCAUUUUUUCAGUUUAUAUAAUUAUAAGAUUUAAAUAUUUUGCAGGUUCUUAACCAUGUUGCCCCUCUUGAGGCCACCAACUUCUCCACCUGUUGCACUCCAAUACAAUUGAAUUUCAAAUUGCUGGCAUUUGUCUCACAUGACUGGUAUGAGGCUCAUGCUCUGAUGAAUGAACCCAAAGGAAUCUAAAUGAACAGUUUUUAAUCAUUUGAUGAUGGAAUUGAUUAAAAGUGAUAAACAGGCAAAUAAAUGAUGGUCCAAUGGAGUAGCCACAGGGGGCUGUAUAUUUUAAUGAAAUGGAAAAUACAGAAUUAACAGUUGUCUAGAAUGGGGUCCCAUCGCUAUUGAUAGAUUAAGAUGAUAGAGGGCUCUGAUGAUGGCAGAACAAUCUGAGGAGUGAAUCCCAAAGUGGGUGAUUUUUCUGACAUAGGAAAAGGUUGGUACUCUUAAC
Molecule: long non-coding RNA, 473 nt
Organism: Ruditapes philippinarum (Manila clam)
Lineage: Eukaryota; Metazoa; Mollusca; Bivalvia; Venerida; Veneridae
Exons: 3
Source: RefSeq, a predicted model, not a curated record